UGCAUCUGCAGCCCAUGAGGAUGAGAACCUCCGGGGGCAGGGAGGUUCGACUCGAGCGAAGCGAGAGAACGUUGCGCCAGCAACGGCCCG
This 90-nucleotide small RNA is filed under the name Escherichia coli. Its description in RNAcentral is "partial RtT sRNA". It matches the Rfam family "RtT RNA", at positions 1 to 86 of the family's 130-position model. From Rfam's summary of the family: This family represents a bacterial cis-regulatory element known as RtT RNA. The exact function of RtT is unknown although it is thought that it may be involved in changing the cellular response in relation to amino acid starvation. The record is from RNAcentral. Lineage: Bacteria; Pseudomonadati; Pseudomonadota; Gammaproteobacteria; Enterobacterales; Enterobacteriaceae.